This 1183-nucleotide long non-coding RNA is filed under the name Capra hircus (goat). Its description in RNAcentral is "lncRNA (ENSCHIG00010016781.1)". Lineage: Eukaryota; Metazoa; Chordata; Mammalia; Artiodactyla; Bovidae. The record is from RNAcentral.
GGGUGAACUUGCUUCUCUGAGUUCCCAAUGGAUGCUGAUGCUGCUGGUCUAGGGGUCCCACCUUGAGGAUUCAGGUUUGGAGGUGUGGCCAGGUGGACCAGGGUCACGGGCCUGGACCAGACGUCACGGGGUUGCAAACAGGGGAUGCAGUGAGGCACAGGGAGCUUGACGGUCACCCCUGAGUGGGACCAGGGUCCGCCACGGCUUGGGUCCCUGGAUUUCAAGGGUAACUUGCUGGCAAAGCCCCCACCCGGGCUGCGGAUGGAAGGAGAAGCAAGAAGAUAAAUCUUGGGAGAGGAAGGAGCUGCAUCAGGCAGGGAUGCCCAGGCCGCCGGUCCCCGAGGUGGCGGGAUUCACGCCCGGGAAGGUGCCUCUCAGGGCUGCAGUCUGGAGUGAGCAGGGGCAGGCAGACGCAGAGCCAACAUUCUGCGUGGUUCCUUAUGUCAGGUUCAAGAAGAGGCAGCACCGACCUGUGGGGUAAGAGUCAGACGGAGGUCCCCGAGUGCUCCAUGUCUCGGCCUGGGUGGUCCCUCGGGGGUCACGGAUGUGCACUGAUUCCCAGGGCUGCACACUCUGGACGUGUGGACGCUACCACGAGCAGAUGUGUCUUUACUGCACGUUCACCGAGGCCUCCCAUAUGCCAGACCUCCUGCUGGGCUCUGAGGACACAGCUGGGAGGAAGGAGCUGCCCUGACUGUGGGGCAGCCCCCUUGACAGUGCAAGCCAGGGUGCUCAGCAGAGCCCUCGAGCCAACGUGGCCUCGAGCAGGCAGGUGGACGUGGCCGGAAGAUGCAGGUCAGGGCCCGAGAGAUGUCAGCAGGCCUCUAAGACACUCUGGUCAGAUCUCAGAUCUCAGAAAACAAGGCAGCUGCCCUGCCGGGGAGGGCGAAGGAGCGGAAAGGACAGUCCGUGCAGGACAGAAGUGACGUGUGUAUUCGACACGGCUGGAAUGUGAGGUCCAUGCUGGGCCAGAGCCAGAGAUACGGCUGGGGAGGUGAGCAGGGCCGGUGAUGGAGGGCCUGGCGAGGCUGCCCGGUUGGGCCUCCGCCCUCCCGCCACGCGUGAGUGGAUCCCAGAGCCAGACAUCCAGACGUGAUUCUGUGAGAUUCCAUUGAUGGCAAGAUCUCGAGCAGGCGACACCAACGCGUGGGGACCAUGGUCAGAAGGGGGGGCAUUCCUGGAG